Molecule: ribosomal RNA, 515 nt
Filed under: uncultured bacterium
Lineage: Bacteria
Description: partial 16S ribosomal RNA
Rfam family: Bacterial small subunit ribosomal RNA
Source: RNAcentral
GAUGAACGCUGGCGGCGUGCCUAAUACAUGCAAGUCGAGCGAAUGGAUUAAGAGCUUGCUCUUAUGAAGUUAGCGGCGGACGGGUGAGUAACACGUGGGUAACCUGCCCAUAAGACUGGGAUAACUCCGGGAAACCGGGGCUAAUACCGGAUAACAUUUUGAACCGCAUGGUUCGAAAUUGAAAGGCGGCUUCGGCUGUUACUUAUGGAUGGACUCGCGUCGCAUUAGCUAGUUGGUGAGGUAACGACUCACCAAGGCAACGAUGCGUAGCCGACCUGAGAGGGUGAUCGGCCACACUGGGACUGAGACACGGCCCAGACUCCUACGGGAGGCAGCAGUAGGGAAUCUUCCGCAAUGGACGAAAGUCUGACGGAGCAACGCCGCGUGAGUGAUGAAGGCUUUCGGGUCGUAAAACUCUGUUGUUAGGGAAGAACAAGUGCUAGUUGAAUAAGCUGGCACCUUGACGGUACCUAACCAGAAAGCCACGGCUAACUACGUGCCAGCCGCCGCCGUAA